CGAAAGCGUGGGGAGCGAACAGGAUUAGAUACCCUGGUAGUCCACGCCGUAAACGAUGAGUGCUAAGUGUUAGGGGGUUUCCGCCCCUUAGUGCUGCAGCUAACGCAUUAAGCACUCCGCCUGGGGAGUACGGUCGCAAGACUGAAACUCAAAGGAAUUGACGGGGGCCCGCACAAGCGGUGGAGCAUGUGGUUUAAUUCGAAGCAACGCGAAGAACCUUACCAGGUCUUGACAUCCUCUGACAACCCUAGAGAUAGGGCUUUCCCUUCGGGGACAGAGUGACAGGUGGUGCAUGGUUGUCGUCAGCUCGUGUCGUGAGAUGUUGGGUUAAGUCCCGCAACGAGCGCAACCCUUGAUCUUAGUUGCCAGCAUUUAGUUGGGCACUCUAAGGUGACUGCCGGUGACAAACCGGAGGAAGGUGGGGAUGACGUCAAAUCAUCAUGCCCCUUAUGACCUGGGCUACACACGUGCUACAAUGGAC
Molecule: ribosomal RNA, 481 nt
Filed under: Bacillus pumilus
Lineage: Bacteria; Bacillati; Bacillota; Bacilli; Caryophanales; Bacillaceae
Description: bacterial SSU rRNA
Rfam family: Bacterial small subunit ribosomal RNA
Source: RNAcentral